Molecule: unclassified non-coding RNA, 324 nt
Filed under: uncultured Spizellomycetales
Lineage: Eukaryota; Fungi; Chytridiomycota; Chytridiomycetes; Spizellomycetales
Description: sequence contains 5.8S rRNA gene, ITS2, 28S rRNA gene
Source: RNAcentral
AACGCAUAUUGCGCUUCCUGGUAUUCCGGGAAGCAUGCCCGUUUCAGAAUCAAUAUAAAACCUCACCCAACUGGGUUUGCUUUCGGGCUUCUCAGCGAGGUGGAUUUGGAAUUUUGCGUUAUGCAAUCUUCUCAAAACUAUUGUAUGUGCACCAAUCGAUGUUUCUUUUGGUUCCAAAGUGCAACAGAUUCAUCUAUUCGCUUUUGGCAAUCAAUCGACCUCUUGGCUGUGCAUGCUCUCAACUCAUUACAGACUGUAGAUCGGCAUGAUCUGGAAAUCUGAGAACUUGAUCUGAAAUCGGGCAGGAAAACCCGCUGAACUUAA